Molecule: long non-coding RNA, 2183 nt
Filed under: Oryza sativa (Asian cultivated rice)
Lineage: Eukaryota; Viridiplantae; Streptophyta; Magnoliopsida; Poales; Poaceae
Description: long non-coding RNA (OSAT_LNC001115)
Source: RNAcentral
UUCUUUGUUCAACAGUAAAACUUAGAUUACAGUAUUCAUGGUGAAAUCUAUGUUUUUUUUUCAGGUCAUAAUUCAGAGCAGGAACAAGAGAUGGUUUCGGCAGCAAAAUCAGCAUCUGCAAAUGAUGAGGAGCAUAAGGUGCAUGAAGUACAUCAAAUAAUUGCUGAUCACAAUGCACUUCCAUCUAGUGCACAGUACACUCUUCAGGAUAAAAUUGAUAGCAGUGCGGAUGCGGGCCUGGUCCCUUGUGACAAAAUUGCUAGUGUGGUUAUUGCAGUAGAUGACCAAGACCCUAGCAAUGCCUCAGAUAAGGAUGCUCCUGCCUCCACAGAAGAUGAUGGAAAUGGUCUGCAAAGUGAAUGUGUUCAUGUUGAUUUGGUUCUGGCUAAGCAAGAUAAUACGAAAGUUGAAGAUACGCAAAAGUCGAAUCAACCAGCAGAACAAGGGGAAAGCUUGGAGAUGACUGGGUCUAAAUUUAGAUCGGAGACGAGACUGGAAAAAACAGAAGAAACCGUGGAUAAGAGUGGUGGUGACAAUCUACCAACUAUUGAGAAAAAUGAUGAUUCUCCCAUAGAAAGGUCAUCUCCUUCAGCAGACAAAAUUGCCCAAGUAGCAUAUGGGGGUGAAGCAGGAACUGAAACAACUACGGUGGAGGCCGUUUCUGCUAUGAAUUCUGAUGGCUUACAGGAUGUUCGCAAUGCCUUGUCCACCCAUGGCUUAUCAACCAAUGAUAUUACUGUUGCUUCGGAAGAACACAGGGAUCCUGAGAGUCAUUUGUCUGGUGAAGUGUCAAUGUCAGGUGGAUCCUCAGAGCUCAAGUUAGAAUCGCUAAACCAAUCAGAAUCUGCUUGCCAGUCUGGUGAAGUAACUCUGGAAGAUACACAUGCCACCUUGGACAUUCAGAUUCCUGCAUUGAUUGAAUCAGAAGAAAAAAAGUCACCUGGAGGCGAUGUGCAUGGUACUCUCUCUCUCUCUCUCACACACACACACACACACACAAACAAAAUAUUGAAGAUUGUGCACAAACACUGUAUUUUUUGUUCUUGAUAUAGCUUAUGUGACCUGCCAUGUGUGUUGAUAGAGUUGAUUUGCUGUAUGCAAAACUCUGAAGCAUUCAAAACAGUUCUUAAUUGCUGUUUACCUAAUCUCUGUACAGGUAGUGAAGAACAACACAUGCAUGAAGUACUUCAUAAUACUGUUGAUGGCUCUAUCUCUCCAUCCAAUAGGGAGCAGGACAAGCUGCAAGUUCAUAUUGAUACUAACACUGACGUAGACAUUCCUAGUUCUGACAAGGACCAUUCUACUGAUAUUGUUUUAGCAGGUUGCCAAGCCCCUUGCGAUGCCUCAGGUAAGGAUAAGCUGUCCACCUGUGAUGCCUCAGGUAAGGAUAUGGCUGCCCCUACAGACGAUGAUCUCAAUUGUCUGCAAAGUGAAGAUACUGUCAUUCCUGUGGCUGAUGCUAAGGACGAGACUAUGCUAGUCAAAGCUAUUCAGAAUGACGAAAUGUCUAUGGGCUCUUCUCAUGGCUUACCUGCUACCAUACAAUCAACUGAUUCAGAUCGUCUUGCAGAAGAAGGGGAGAGUGCAGAAAUUACUGGCUCUAAAUUUUCAUGCGGGAUGGAACAGGAGAAAAUGGAAGAGCCCUUGGAUAAGAGUGUCACUGACAAUCAAACCAGCAGUCAGAUAAAUGAUGGUUCAAACAACAUGGAUUCACAAAAAGUGGAUAGUUCUUUGCAAGCAGCCGAUGGUGGUGAUCUUUUGGUAAGUAGAGGAACCAGUGUUGAAACCACCACUGCUAUUAAUACUGAUGCGUCAGAUGAAAGUAUCAGUGUGUCCACUCAGUCCGUCAAAGAGGCUAGCACAGUAGAAAUUGGUGCAUCUACUAAUGACAUAGCUCCUGCUUGUGAAUUAAGAAAGGAUUUUGAGUCUCAUGUAUCUGGUUGUGUGUCAAAGCCAGUAGGAUUGUCGGAACUCAGGUUAGAAGAGCUGAGCCAAACAAAGUCUGUUUCGCAGUCUAUUGUAGCAAAUGCUGAAGAAACAAGUACCAGGUCUGACAUUGAAACUCCUGCAAUGGAUGCAUCAGAAAGUAAAUCACCUGAAAGCGAUGUGCAUGGUACUCUCUCUCUCUCUCUCUCUCUCUCUCUCUCUCUCUCUCACACACACACACACACACACACACACAC